GGCUAUUCCUGGGAUAGCUCAGUUGAUAGAUCAUGUGACUCUUAAAAUCAGGGUCAUGGGUUCAAGCCCCACAUUGGGCA
Molecule: non-coding RNA, 80 nt
Organism: Podarcis lilfordi (Lilford's wall lizard)
Lineage: Eukaryota; Metazoa; Chordata; Lepidosauria; Squamata; Lacertidae
Source: the annotation of a GenBank genome assembly